AGAUAGGGCGAUCUGAUGAUUCUUAACGAACCAAUACAUCUCCUGUUCUGCAGCUGCAAUGGAUUCUUCCCACGGCCAUCUAGUCAGAUAAGGAGGGAUGCAUGCGGCUUCACAAGUGCAGUGCUCUGUACUCUGGACACGCGUUUACGAGGAAGAAUUUCCACGUGAAGCUAGCCUGUUUGGUUUGACAUCAGGCAAACUUGCCUGGCAGGCAUAAAAAUCUCAGGCGUUGGAAUUUGACUUCCUGGGAUCAGAUCUGCUGCAGGGUGAAAGUCGCCUGGU
This 282-nucleotide long non-coding RNA is filed under the name Sorghum bicolor (sorghum). RNAcentral's name for it is "long non-coding RNA (SBIC_LNC005755)". The record is from RNAcentral. Lineage: Eukaryota; Viridiplantae; Streptophyta; Magnoliopsida; Poales; Poaceae.